This 1108-nucleotide ribosomal RNA is filed under the name Limosilactobacillus fermentum. Its description in RNAcentral is "bacterial SSU rRNA". It matches the Rfam family "Bacterial small subunit ribosomal RNA", at positions 38 to 1097 of the family's 1533-position model. Lineage: Bacteria; Bacillati; Bacillota; Bacilli; Lactobacillales; Lactobacillaceae. The record is from RNAcentral.
GGCCGUUGCUAUACUGCAAGUCGAACGCGUUGGCCCAAUUGAUUGACGGUGCUUGCACCUGAUUGAUUUUGGUCGCCAACGAGUGGCGGACGGGUGAGUAACACGUAGGUAACCUGCCCAGAAGCGGGGGACAACAUUUGGAAACAGAUGCUAAUACCGCAUAACAACGUUGUUCGCAUGAACAACGCUUAAAAGAUGGCUUCUCGCUAUCACUUCUGGAUGGACCUGCGGUGCAUUAGCUUGUUGGUGGGGUAACGGCCUACCAAGGCGAUGAUGCAUAGCCGAGUUGAGAGACUGAUCGGCCACAAUGGGACUGAGACACGGCCCAUACUCCUACGGGAGGCAGCAGUAGGGAAUCUUCCACAAUGGGCGCAAGCCUGAUGGAGCAACACCGCGUGAGUGAAGAAGGGUUUCGGCUCGUAAAGCUCUGUUGUUAAAGAAGAACACGUAUGAGAGUAACUGUUCAUACGUUGACGGUAUUUAACCAGAAAGUCACGGCUAACUACGUGCCAGCAGCCGCGGUAAUACGUAGGUGGCAAGCGUUAUCCGGAUUUAUUGGGCGUAAAGAGAGUGCAGGCGGUUUUCUAAGUCUGAUGUGAAAGCCUUCGGCUUAACCGGAGAAGUGCAUCGGAAACUGGAUAACUUGAGUGCAGAAGAGGGUAGUGGAACUCCAUGUGUAGCGGUGGAAUGCGUAGAUAUAUGGAAGAACACCAGUGGCGAAGGCGGCUACCUGGUCUGCAACUGACGCUGAGACUCGAAAGCAUGGGUAGCGAACAGGAUUAGAUACCCUGGUAGUCCAUGCCGUAAACGAUGAGUGCUAGGUGUUGGAGGGUUUCCGCCCUUCAGUGCCGGAGCUAACGCAUUAAGCACUCCGCCUGGGGAGUACGACCGCAAGGUUGAAACUCAAAGGAAUUGACGGGGGCCCGCACAAGCGGUGGAGCAUGUGGUUUAAUUCGAAGCUACGCGAAGAACCCUUACCAGGUCUUGACAUCUUGCGCCAACCCUAGAGAUAGGGCGUUUCCUUCGGGGAAACGCAAAUGACAGGUGGCUGCAUGGAUCGUCGUCAGCCUCGUGUCGUGAGAUUUGGGCUAGGUCCCCGCAACCGAGC